UACGUAGGGUGCGAGCGUUAUUCGGAAUUAUUGGGCGUAAAGGGCGCGUAGGCGGCUGUACAAGUCAAAGGUGAAAUCCCUCGGCUCAACUGAGGAACUGCCUUUGAAACUGUACGGCUUGAGGCCGGGAGGGGGUAGCGGAAUUCCCAGUGUAGCGGUGAAAUGCGUAGAUACUGGGAGGAACACCAGUGGCGAAGGCGGCUACCUGGACCGGUUCUGACGCUGAGGCGCGAAAGCGUGGGUAGCAAACAGG
Molecule: ribosomal RNA, 253 nt
Filed under: uncultured bacterium
Lineage: Bacteria
Description: partial 16S ribosomal RNA
Rfam family: Bacterial small subunit ribosomal RNA
Source: RNAcentral